This 74-nucleotide transfer RNA is filed under the name Mesoaciditoga sp. RNAcentral's name for it is "tRNA-OTHER". It matches the Rfam family "tRNA". Rfam says of the family: Transfer RNA (tRNA) molecules are approximately 80 nucleotides in length. Their secondary structure includes four short double-helical elements and three loops (D, anti-codon, and T loops). Lineage: Bacteria; Thermotogati; Thermotogota; Thermotogae; Mesoaciditogales; Mesoaciditogaceae. The record is from RNAcentral.
GGAGAGAUGGCCGAGCGGUCGAAGGCAAGCGUGGGAUUUUCCCACCGUGGGUUCAAAUCCCACUCUCUCCGCCA